AUUGAACGCUGGCGGUAUGCUUAACACAUGCAAGUCGAACGGAAACGAUACUAGCUUGCUAGUAGGCGUCGAGUGGCGGACGGGUGAGUAACGCGUAGGAAUCUGCCUGAUAGUGGGGGAUAGCCCGGAGAAAUUCGGAUUAAUACCGCAUAAUCUAUUCGUAGUAAAGCGGGGGACUUUCGAGCCUCACGCUAUCAGAUGAGCCUGCGUAAGAUUAGCUUGUUGGUAGGGUAAAAGCCUACCAAGGCGACGAUCUUUAGCUGGUCUGAGAGGAUGAUCAGCCACAUCGGGACUGAGACACGGCCCGAACUCCUACGGGAGGCAGCAGUGGGGAAUAUUGGACAAUGGGGGCAACCCUGAUCCAGCAAUACCGCGUGUGUGAAGAAGGCCUGAGGGUUGUAAAGCACUUUCAAUUGUGAAGAAAAGUUAACGGUUAAUAACCGUUAGCCUUGACGUUAACUUUAGAAGAAGCACCGGCUAACUCCGUGCCAGCAGCCGCGGUAAUACGGAGGGUGCAAGCGUUAAUCGGAAUUACUGGGCGUAAAGCGUGCGUAGGCGGUUUAUUAAGUCAGAUGUGAAAGCCCCGGGCUUAACCUGGGAACUGCAUUUGAAACUGGUAAACUAGAGUAUGGUAGAGGAAAGUGGAAUUUCUGGUGUAGCGGUGAAAUGCGUAGAUAUCAGAAGGAACAUCAAUGGCGAAGGCAGCUUUCUGGACCAAUACUGACGCUGAGGUACGAAAGCGUGGGUAGCAAACAGGAUUAGAUACCCUGGUAGUCCACGCCGUAAACGAUGAUAACUAGCCGUUGGGGGGAUUUACCCUUUAGUGGCGAAGCUAACGCGUUAAGUUAUCCGCCUGGGGAGUACGGCCGCAAGGUUAAAACUCAAAGGAAUUGACGGGGACCCGCACAAGCGGUGGAGCAUGUGGUUUAAUUCGAUGCAACGCGAAGAACCUUACCUGGUCUUGACAUCCUGCGAACUUUCUAGAAAUAGAUUGGUGCCUUCGGGAACGCAGUGACAGGUGCUGCAUGGCUGUCGUCAGCUCGUGUCGUGAGAUGUUGGGUUAAGUCCCGUAACGAGCGCAACCCCUAUCCUUAUUUGCCAGCACAUUAUGGUGGGAACUAUAAGGAGACUGCCGGUGAUAAACCGGAGGAAGGCGGGGACGACGUCAAGUCAUCAUGGCCCUUACGACCAGGGCUACACACGUGCUACAAUGGGAAGGACAAAGAGCCGCGAAGCCGCGAGGUGUAGCUAAUCUCAUAAACCUUUUCGUAGUCCGGAUUGGAGUCUGCAACUCGACUCCAUGAAGUCGGAAUCGCUAGUAAUCGUAGAUCAGAAUGCUACGGUGAAUACGUUCCCGGGUCU
This 1362-nucleotide ribosomal RNA is filed under the name uncultured bacterium. RNAcentral's name for it is "bacterial SSU rRNA". It matches the Rfam family "Bacterial small subunit ribosomal RNA", at positions 28 to 1381 of the family's 1533-position model. The record is from RNAcentral.